UAAUGAAAAUAGAAAAGGAGUUGAGCAGUAACUCAACUCCAUGUAGAACCGUUUAAGACGGCAGCAAAGUUUAUUGUUAUUAAAA
This 85-nucleotide small RNA is filed under the name Streptococcus hyointestinalis. RNAcentral describes it as "RNA anti-toxin A". It matches the Rfam family "RNA anti-toxin A". Lineage: Bacteria; Bacillati; Bacillota; Bacilli; Lactobacillales; Streptococcaceae. The record is from RNAcentral.